Molecule: long non-coding RNA, 706 nt
Filed under: Gallus gallus (chicken)
Lineage: Eukaryota; Metazoa; Chordata; Aves; Galliformes; Phasianidae
Description: long non-coding RNA NONGGAT009119
Source: RNAcentral
GCUUCAGGCUGCGGCUCCUGCUUCUCGCCCCCAGCUCCUCACCAGCAGCUGGGACACAGAACUCGUCCCUGGCUCUGCUGCCUGCCUUGGUGCUGCCUGGAAGAGAGGGGAGCGCUGCUCCAGCAGGGACGGAGAUGGGCACAGCCUGACCACUGCUUGCGUGCAGCCCCAAGGGUGCUGACCCUUCCAGCCUGGCCUCCUACCUGCGGGGAAGGCGCUAUGGAGGGGCCGGAGCCGGGUGUAGCGCUCCAGGUUGUAGUCCUUGAAGAGGACAGCCCAGAAGUCACGGACGGCGGCGGUGUCGCGGCCCAGGAGCCAGGUGAGCAGCGCGUGGAACGCACGGUGGGAGCCCUCCCGCUCCGUCUGGCUCAGUGUCUCCUGCCGAUGCCACCACCAACCGUGGACACACACCCAAGUGCCACCAGCCAGCCCCCGUCCUCACAGUGUGGCCAGGAGCACGGUCUCCCCCCACGGCCUCACCUUGAAGAUGUGCUCAGGGACGAUGUCAUGGUCAGCAAGGCCGUGCAGCAGCGGGAAGACAUCAUCCACCGCCAUGGCGAUCUCCGUGCGGUGCAGUUUCAGCAGGUGCCGCAGGUCUCUGUCCACUCCCAGCUUGGCCAUGCUGCUGCAGCCCGGCAGACAGCCCUCACGCUCCCCUUUAAUGUAUGCCCCGACUGCUGGAAACUCAUCAGGUUCCUGCAGCCCC